UGGGGAAUAUUGGACAAUGGGCGCAAGCCUGAUCCAGCCAUGCCGCGUGAGUGAUGAAGGCCCUAGGGUUGUAAAGCUCUUUCAGCGAGGAGGAUAAUGACGUUACUCGCAGAAGAAGCCCCGGCUAACUUCGUGCCAGCAGCCGCGGUAAUACGAAGGGGGCUAGCGUUGUUCGGAAUCACUGGGCGUAAAGCGCACGUAGGCGGACUUUUAAGUCAGGGGUGAAAUCCCGGGGCUCAACCUCGGAACUGCCUUUGAUACUGGAAGUCUGGAGUCCGAGAGAGGUGAGUGGAACUCCGAGUGUAGAGGUGAAAUUCGUAGAUAUUCGGAAGAACACCAGUGGCGAAGGCGGCUCACUGGCUCGGUACUGACGCUGAGGUGCGAAAGCGUGGGGAGCAAAACAGGAUUAGAUACCCUGGUAGUCCACGCCGUAAACGAUGGAAGCUAGCCGUCAGGGUGCAUGCAUCUUGGUGGCGCAGUUAACGCAUUAAGCUUCCCGCCUGGGGAGUACGGUCGCAAGAUUAAAACUCAAAGGAAUUGAC
RNAcentral lists this ribosomal RNA (542 nucleotides) under uncultured bacterium. RNAcentral describes it as "partial 16S ribosomal RNA". It matches the Rfam family "Bacterial small subunit ribosomal RNA", at positions 355 to 914 of the family's 1533-position model. The record is from RNAcentral.